Molecule: long non-coding RNA, 1506 nt
Organism: Cygnus olor (mute swan)
Lineage: Eukaryota; Metazoa; Chordata; Aves; Anseriformes; Anatidae
Exons: 3
Source: RefSeq, a predicted model, not a curated record
ACUACUUUGAUUAUUUUUGGUGCCCUUCACUGGGCUCUUUCCAGUAUGUCCAGGUCUUGCUGGGGUACUAGGGUGGCACUCUAGGUGUAGCCUCACCAGUGUGGAGGGAAGGAUCACCUCCCUCAACCUGCUCGCACCACUCCUCCUAAUGUAACCCAGGAUACCUUAGCCUUCUUUAUGACAAAGGCACAUUGCUGGCUUACGGUCAACUUGGUAUCCACCAGGAUCCCCAAGGCCUUUUCUGCAGAGCUGCUUUCCCGCUGGGCAGCUCUCAGCAUAUAUUGGUGCACAGGCUUGUUCCUCCCCAGCUGCAGGACUCCUGCUGAUCUACAUCAAUGUCCUGACAGCCCUUUUCUCCGGCCUGUCAGGUCCUGCUGGAUGGCAGCAAAACCCUCAGGCAUAUCAGCUGUUCCUCCCUGUCUUUUAUCACCUGCAAACUUGCAGAUGGUACACUCUGCCCCAUCAUCCAGGUCAUUAAUGAAGACAUUAAUUGCUGACCCCUGGGGUACACUGCUAGUUACUGCUCUCCAACUAGACUAUGCCUCCGAUCACCGCCAUCUGUGUCCAGCCAUUCAGCCAGUUCUCAGUCCACCUUACUGUCUGCUCAUGCAGCCCACACUUCAACAGCUUCUCUUUGAAGAUGUUACAGGAGAGAAGGUUGAAAGCCUUACUACAGUCAAAGGAAACAAUAUUCACUGCUCUGCCCUCAUCAACCAUCAAGCCAAUCACUUCAUUAUAAAAGGUUAGUAAAGCAAGUCUUCCCCUUUGUGAAUCCAUGCUGAGAACUCCUGAUGACUUUCUUGUCAUUCGUAUGCCUGGAAAUGGUUCCCAAGAUUAGUUGCUCCAUCUCCUCCCCAGGGACUGAGGUGAGGCUGUCUGACUGGCAGUUCCCUGGCUCCUCCUUCUUGCUCUUCAUGAAGAUAGGAGGGAUGUUUGCCUUCCUCUAGUCCUCUGGCACCUCUCCCAGUCAUUAUGAUGCUUUGAAACUAAUUGAUGUCACAAUGACAUCAGCCUGCGUGGUCAGCAACCAAGUCCCAGCAGGGCCCACAGCCUGACUGUAUGUCACUUUGCUUAAGCAGCCUAACCUGAUCCUCUUCCACCAAAGAGUCUGAAUGAGAUUGAAAGCAGAGAAUAUGAAAUAAAGGAGAGUUCCUCAAAGUGUUCCCCAGAGUUUCUUAUUUGGAAAAGAUGGAUCAAGGAACUCUGGACUGUAGAAAGUAUUGCUUCUAGGAAAUAGAGGUAGAGGAGCUCAUCUACAAAGGGAUGUGUCGGACCAAAGAUGGAAGCAUCAUUCUGCACGUAAAAAGAGUGAAACAUAACCUGUGCUAUAAAUUGGUAGGAAGCAAAGAACGUCUUUCUCCCAAGGAUCUAUUUUUUUUGGUUGGCUGGUUUUGCUUUUUGUUUUUCCCUUUCUCUGGGUGCUUCUAAAUGAAGCUGGUAAAAAAUCUGACUGCUAACAUGUCAUGAAUCUAUACAGUCCUGGUAAAUUGUUAAUUAAAUUAUAAG